GUGUACCAGUUGUCGUGCCAACGGCAUAGCUGGGUAGCUAUGUGUGGACGGGAUAAGUGCUGAAAGCAUCUAAGCAUGAAGCCCCCCUCAAGAUGAGAUUUCCCAACUUCGGUUAUAAGAUCCCUCAAAGAUGAUGAGGUUAAUAGGUUCGAGGUGGAAGCAUGGUGACAUGUGGAGCUGACGAAUACUAAUCGAUCGAAGACUUAAUCAAAUU
This 214-nucleotide ribosomal RNA is filed under the name Staphylococcus aureus. RNAcentral describes it as "partial 23S ribosomal RNA". It matches the Rfam family "Bacterial large subunit ribosomal RNA", at positions 2712 to 2925 of the family's 2925-position model. The record is from RNAcentral. Lineage: Bacteria; Bacillati; Bacillota; Bacilli; Caryophanales; Staphylococcaceae.